CGCAGCCGCGAGGCCGCCCGACCCUUGCCCACCGGCGGGGAACUCCCGCGAGAUGUCCCCAUACCUGAGUGGCGCGGAACAGCGACGUCCCGCGAGACUUCGGAAUCGUGGUCCUAGGGAGGGCCGGGGACUCGCCGCCGUCAUGAUGCUAGCGGUUGUCUGAGUCGCUGACGUGUAGGGGGUGGUCGGAAGCGCGGCUUCCUUCUUGGUGCCUCUCUGUGCUUGUCUCUUUUCUCAUUUUGCCCUCCUUGCGUGAGGAGGACGUCGUGACUGCCCGCGGGAGGUUUUCUGCGCCUUGUGGCGACCGGGAGGAGACAGAACAAGGGGCUUUUCCGGUCCGACCGGGUGUCCUGGCCCACGCAGCUCAGGCGGCUUCCGAGCGUGGCCGGGUCGGGUGUGUGUGUGUGUGUGGUUACGAGUCUGCGGCCCCGCUGGAUGGCAGGAGCCGGCUCAAAGCUGGGGGACGUGUUGGAAAGGUGUAUCCUGGAUUUUGGAGCCGUUGUUUGACGGCUCUGCCUGAAGACCGAGGGCUCCGUAGUGUCUGCCCGAUGUUUUGUCCACCGAUUUGAUGGCUUUUCCUGAAGCCUUGCAUUUUCCGGUCUCUGGGUGUCUUUUUUACUUGGAUGAUUUUCAGGUAUAGCCAGAGGGUGAGGUACCUAGAGAGUCUGUUAAACCUGCAGAAGGUCAGUAACAGUUGUUUGCUUUCUGCUGUUAGCAGAAUAAGGAUCGUGGAACUAAUCUCUAAUCUUCUGUCCAAAUUGUCUCUGUUGGGUAACCUUACCGAAAUUUGGACAUGUGGUCAUCAUCAGUGACCAGAAAUUGUCUAUCAGGUAGACCAGGGCCACCGGCCAAAUCUGGCCUGCCACCAGAUUUUGUUGGAUCUGUGAGCAGGGUGGUUGUUAACAUUUUUUAAAAUAAUUGAGAAAAGAAUCAAAAGAAGUGUAUUCAUGACACGUGAAAAUUAUAUGAAAUUCAAAUUUUAGUGUAUAUAAAUAGUAUUUAUGUAUUGUCUUUUGCUGCUUUUACAAUAGCAGAGUUGCAUAGUUACAAGUGAGACCAUAUGGCCUGCAAAGCCUAAAAUAUUUACUAUCUGGCACUUUGUAGAAAAAAAUCUGCCCACCCCUGAGAUGCAUGAUUAACAGUUGGGCUGCUGGUGUUCAGUACCAUCAGAUCAGUUGUCUUUUUGUUAAUAGGUUUUUAUUCUGCAGUGGCAGACUACAGUUUCCAUGUUUUGGAGCAGAAUCGCAGGUGACCUCUCUUUGCUACUGUGGAAAAUAAAUGAAUACCCAUGCCUCAAAAACAUGACUGUUGAUGUGCAGGGCUAGUCUAUCAAUUUUGGUCAUUUAGAUUAGCAAUCGGCCAAAAUUAUGAGUGCAUUAAUUAGAGUUACUUUUUUUAAUUGCCUGAAUUGUAAGAAUAAAUUUAGCAUAAAACUGCAUAUGGGCACAUGAAGUCUAUAGGAUUGCAGCCGUUUUUUGUUUGUUUUGUUUUUGUUUUUUUUUUGACCACACUGCGAGGCAUGUGGGAUCUUACUUCCCCGACCAGGGAUUGAACCUGUGCCCCCUGCAUUGGGAGCGUGGAGCCUUAACCACUGGACCGCCAGGGACGUCCAGUGGACUCGGGAAACAAGCACAACCGAAGGUAAUUGCUUAGGCCUUCCUAGGAUUUGUUAUUCUUUCAAACUUCAUUUAUCGAUGAGUAUCACCCCUUACAGUAGACUUUCUUAACCUGGACGCUAUUGCCACUUGGUUCUGGAUAAUUCUUGGUUGGGGGCUUUCUUGUACUUUAUAGGAUGUUUAGAAGCAUCACUGGCUUCUGCCGACUAGAGGCCAGUAGUGCCCUGCUCCAGUUGUGACAAUCAAAAAUGUCUCCAGAUACAAAUGAACUUAUUUACAAAACAGAAACAGACUCACAUAGAAAACAAACAUGGUUACCAAAGGGAGAAGGGGGUGGGGGAAGGAUAAAUUAGGAGUUUGGGAUUAGCAGAUACAAACUAAUAUAUAGAAAAUAGAUAAAAAACAAGGUCUAGGGCUUCCCUGGUGGCGCAGUGGUUGAGAGUCCGCCUGCUGAUGCAGGGGACACAGGUUCGUGCCCCGGUUCGGGGAGAUCCCACAUGCUGCAGAGCGGCUGGGCCUGUGAGCCAUGGCCGCUGAGCCUGCGCGUCCGGAGCCUGGGCUCCACAACGGGAGAGGCCACAACAGUGAGAGGCCCACGUACCAAAAACAAAACAAAACAAAAACAAAAACAAAACAAGGUCUUACUGUAUAGCACAGGGAACUCUAUUCAAUAUCUUGUAAUGACCUAAAAUGGAAAAGAAUCUGAAAAAGAAUAUAUAUGUAACUGAAUCACUUUGCUGUACACCUGAAACUAACACAGCAUUGUAAAUCAACUAUACUUCAAUAAAAAGAAAAAUGUCUCCAGACAUUGCCAAAUGUCUCCAAGAUUGGGGGAUGGGGUCAAAGUACCCUCAGUAGACAGCCACCCUAUUAGAUCAAGUAGAAAUCCAGACUUUCUUUCCUUUAAACUUAUUCCAGCGUGGUGCCGAGGACGGCCUGUGAUCUUGAAGCUAGGUUGUCUGGCUAUAGAUCCCUGUCCCUACAUUUUACAAAAAAGUGAUCUGGGAUGCUGAGUCUUAUGCCUUCAGCCCCUGGAGGGGGCUGUGGGUUGUCUUAACUGUUUUCUAGAGAAGCUUCUACUCUGAGCUCAAGGUGCUAUUGCUGCUUUCCUAUAUAAAUGAAUUAAAUCAACUAAAACAAUCUAUAAACUCUGCAGGGCUCCAUAUGCAAGGAAAACAUGAAAAAUGAGUCUGAAAGUGAAAAGUCAGUGAUGCCCUAAUGUGUGAAUUUUAAAAUCAGUUGAAUUUAUUACAAGGUCAGCAGUAAUGGUGUAUUAAUACCCUGAUCUAUGCCAUGGGACAAGCAGAUUUUUAGCGUGUGUGUGAUGGAGGGGAGGGGUGGAGUGUGUAGUAGAGUCCAUCUCAGGAGGCGCCCCAUACUGUUGAUUCUGAAUGCUGUGAAGGACGCUCACGCCCUGACUUGCAGACUCAAGUUUAGAAACUUCUCUCUGUAGGCCAGAUCCCAAGUUCACCAGUAGAUGGCACCCUGGUCCCACCAAAGUUUCUCACUGACGCACACCAGAAAGUUUCAGGGUCCACGGAAGUAGGUUGGGGAGGAAAUCAGAGACGAGAUUAGCCUCCUCUUGGUCACAAAGGAUAAAGUAGGGAUAGGAUGCUGUGAGGAUGAAGUGAAAUGGAGGACCUUGUGCAGAGCUGGGGCUACAGAAGGUAAAGUUGGUGCACCCCCGAAACACCCCUGAACGCCACUGCAGUGUUGUUCAUGCAUCUCAGCACCUAUGGCCUCUUCCAGUCUGCUUUGCCCUAAGGUAGAGAGAACCAGAACUGCCUGGAGAUGACGUCCCACCACUGCAACACUUAAACAAUGACCAAUGGGCCAGAAGAACGCUCAGCUUGCCUUGACUCGGUCUGGAUGGCCCCCGAAAUGUCACUUCCUGCACCUGAGCCCUGGGUAACAGUGGGAUUUGGGAACUCAAUUACCCAGAGUGGCCCCAGCGCGCCCCUGCCUUUUCCUGAAGGAGGACCAGCAUCGCGAGUCUAUCCAGCUGACCUGUUCUCUGUCUGCUGUCCCUCUGAGCCCGGCUGAGGCUGGUUCUGGGAACCAAUGUGUCUCUUGUGGUCCUUGGGAGUCAAGAUUCAAGCAUUUCAGAUAGAUAAGUCUGCUUGUUGAAGAAAUGAGAUUUUUUUCUUCCUAGUGCUGGCUCCUAUGUCUUCUUUCCAUUCAGAGCUGAAAUACCCACUCCCUCCAGAGAUUUGUUUAAAUACUACAUGAACUAGCUUCCUAUUUCCCUGUAUUGAACUGGAUCCAUGAAGGCACAGCCAAUAAACACGAGAAGCAAUAAAUGCCCACACUUAUCAAGGGUCAGGAGCGCGUGACACCCAAGGCACUGACACCUUCAAUUUGCCUUUUUCUAAGCCUAUGAAAUAUUCUAGGCUUUUCGAAAACUUGACUGCACAAAACCAGCUGCUGAAUGUAACCACACUGUGAACGACGAACUAAGUCAACUGUGACUCAAGUAUUUUUCGCACAAACUGUGUCUUCACAAAAGCCACUGGGGCAGGGAAGGGGGUGGGGACGCUAAAAUAUGGAUGCUGGUGGUAGAAGUUGACUGGAGGCCUGACCAUCCUGGCAAUCCCCUCAGUGACUCCGUUUCACUUUGCCAUUUCACAUAGCAAGUUGGAAGAAACCCUUGUUAGGCCUGGUUAGGAAAGGGUCUUAUGAAUUCACGGCCAGGAAUGGAAAAGAUGGAUCUCUAAUCUUAAUAUCUGAUGGGGAUUCUGAUUUACCUCUUGCAGGUUUGCAGAGAGCAAAAGCAGCUUGCCUGGGACUCUCCUGGCAGUCCAGUGGUAAAGAAUCCGCCUUCCAACGCAGGGGACGCAGGUUCGAUCGCUAGUUGGAGCACUAAGAUCCCACAUGCCAGGGUGGGGGGCAACUAAGCCCAUGUACCGCAACUACUGAGCUCGCACGCCUCAACUAGAGAGCCCAUGUACCACAAACUAUAGAGCCCAUGCGCCCUGGAGCCCGCUCCACAGCUAGAGAGAAACCUGAGCAGGCCACGCGCCCUAACGAAAAAGAUCCCGCACGCCACAAAAAGAUCCUGUGUGCUGCAACUAAGACCCAACGCAGCCAAAAAAAAAAGAAAUAAGGAAAAUAAAUAAAUAAAAUUAAUAUUUUUUAAAAAAGAGAGAGAUUUACUUAAAAAAAAAAAAAAAGCAGCUCGCCCAGCCACCAGCCCCUUGAACAAGAGGUAUGACUUUUAACAAAAAGGAACGCUAUUACAUUAGUAAUAUGCUGCCCAGGGGUGGGGAGAGAUGAGCUCAUGGUGCUUUCAGCAGGUAAUCAAAGCCUUGCCUUAAAUUGCCUUUUCUUGCCUUUUGCUGAAUGUUUGUUCCAGGGAAAUAGCCAAGGGAGGGAAUUCUGAAGCCUGUACUCUGAAAAUGAGGUGCCUUGCAGAACAGUGGACUCGUUAAUUGGGUCAACCUUAAUAGUUUCUGCAGGACUGCAAGAGGUUUACCCCAAAAGACCUCUAGCCACUAAUUUAUUAGUCAUCCCAAGGAUAUGUCACUAUUGCAGGCACUCAGAAGGAGCGGCUGAAAUCAAGUGAAGUCGCUCUUAGCUGGGCAUCAGAUAGGGAGAGUCUGAUGGCCUCCUGCCAUUUGCAACAUCCUUUGAGGACACAGGAGGGUGAGAGAGGGAAGAAUUUGAAGAAAGAGAGCACUGAGGCUUAUAAGGGGACAAUAUCUCCCUGGUGCCCAGGUAUUUUUAAAUGUUUCUUUGACAGAGCACCAGAGACAUUUCCCUAGUAAUGAAGGCAGGGAAGAGGUACCAUCUCAGACAUUAAAUAUAACGUUUGUCAAGCUUGUGUGUGUGUGUGUGUGUGUGUGUGUGCGCGUUUGUCAAGCUUGUGUGCGCCUGUGUCUCUGCAUCUUUGUGCUAAGUAUUUGCAGAAUGUCUUGCAAACAACUUCAAAGAACCUAGGGAGAAAAACAGAAGUGUUCUGGAAAGAAA
Molecule: long non-coding RNA, 5582 nt
Organism: Globicephala melas (long-finned pilot whale)
Lineage: Eukaryota; Metazoa; Chordata; Mammalia; Artiodactyla; Delphinidae
Source: RefSeq, a predicted model, not a curated record